This 373-nucleotide ribosomal RNA is filed under the name uncultured bacterium. Its description in RNAcentral is "bacterial SSU rRNA". It matches the Rfam family "Bacterial small subunit ribosomal RNA", at positions 527 to 895 of the family's 1533-position model. The record is from RNAcentral.
GUAGGGCGCGAGCGUUGUCCGGAAUUAUUGGGCGUAAAGAGCUCGUAGGCGGCUGGUCGCGUCUGUCGUGAAAUCCUCUGGCUUAACUGGGGGCUUGCGGUGGGUACGGGCCGGCUUGAGUGCGGUAGGGGAGACUGGAACUCCUGGUGUAGCGGUGGAAUGCGCAGAUAUCAGGAAGAACACCGGUGGCGAAGGCGGGUCUCUGGGCCGUUACUGACGCUGAGGAGCGAAAGCGUGGGGAGCGAACAGGAUUAGAUACCCUGGUAGUCCACGCCGUAAACGUUGGGCACUAGGUGUGGGGGGCCUUUUCCGGGUCUUCCGCGCCGUAGCUAACGCAUUAAGUGCCCCGCCUGGGGAGUACGGCCGCAAGGCU